RNAcentral lists this long non-coding RNA (226 nucleotides) under Lathyrus oleraceus (garden pea). RNAcentral's name for it is "Pisum sativum (pea) long non-coding RNA (PSAT_LNC038342)". Lineage: Eukaryota; Viridiplantae; Streptophyta; Magnoliopsida; Fabales; Fabaceae. The record is from RNAcentral.
GAUGGUCACCGGAGAAGAUGACCAGAGCUAGGGCUCUGGUGGUGCGUUGGAAUGAUCCAUGCCAUUUGAUCUGGUCCGCAACUUCUAAUCUCAGCCUUUGUUUAUGAUCACCAAGUUUGUGCACGCGUGGAUUGUGGAGCACCAUGGACAUGAUGCGUGUGGCCAUAGGAUCUGCCACCUCAAUUAAUAAGGGAGAUAUGAUGACCCUCCUUUUUUUUAAUUUAAU